GACGAACGCUGGCGGCGUGCCUAACACAUGCAAGUCGAACGAAGCUCGGACCUUGGAGAUUCGUCGAAAAGGGAAGAUGACUUAGUGGCGGACGGGUGAGUAAUACAUGAGCAACCUGCCCUGGAGUGGGGGACAACAGCUGGAAACGGCUGCUAAUACCGCAUGAAGUGUUUGGAAGACAUCUUCCGAACACCAAAGAUUUUAUCGCUCUGGGAUGGGCUCAUGUCUGAUUAGCUAGUUGGUGAGGUAACGGCUCACCAAGGCUGCGAUCAGUAGCCGGACUGAGAGGUUGAACGGCCACAUUGGGACUGAGAUACGGCCCAGACUCCUACGGGAGGCAGCAGUGGGGAAUAUUGGGCAAUGGGCGAAAGCCUGACCCAGCAACGCCGCGUGAAGGAAGAAGGCUUUCGGGUUGUAAACUUCUUUUAUGAGGGACGAAGGACGUGACGGUACCUCAUGAAUAAGCCACGGCUAACUACGUG
RNAcentral lists this ribosomal RNA (482 nucleotides) under uncultured organism. Its description in RNAcentral is "bacterial SSU rRNA". It matches the Rfam family "Bacterial small subunit ribosomal RNA", at positions 28 to 507 of the family's 1533-position model. The record is from RNAcentral.